UCUUUUUGUGAGGAUUAAAAGUGAUUAAUGGUUUUCUUGUGAAAAAUUACAAAAAAUAAAAAAAAAUAAGUCAAAAAUGUUUAAGUUGAUUUGUUGCUUAAUUUUAUUAAGUUUUGUUACUUAUGCAAAUUGCAAAAACAUUUCGAAGCGAGUAGCCAAGGUAGUUGUAAGACAUGGAAUUUUAGAUUGUUCUGGGAAUUAUUUAGAAUGGCUCAAAGCUGAAAACAUCGAAGAUCUGGACAAUUGUGUACAUCGUAAAGAUUCAAGUUAUGUAGAUGCCUGUGGUAACAAACGUUGUUAUAAGGAACUUGGUCAAGCCUGCGGAAAUGAUUAUCGCGGUAGAUGCUCCAAACACGACGUUUGUUUUGAGGGCAUUUGUCAUCGAGGUCCCGUUGAGGGAAAAAGAAACUACAUUAUCGAAAAUGAUCUUGAACCAAAUGUUGAAAAUUACGUCGAUGAUGGCACUGAAAGUGAAAAUGAUGAGUAUGAAGUCGAGUUUUUGAAUCGUGCUUUGCAACGAAUUAAAAAUCGAAUUGAAAAAAAUCCAAAUUUUUUAAAAUGAAAACCAUAACAAUUGAAAUUAUUUGACAAACAAAUUUUUCAGCUUCCAAAUGUGCUUUUAA
This is a long non-coding RNA of Culicoides brevitarsis, 623 nucleotides long. RefSeq lists it as uncharacterized. The transcript has 3 exons. Lineage: Eukaryota; Metazoa; Arthropoda; Insecta; Diptera; Ceratopogonidae. The record is from RefSeq and is a predicted model, not a curated record.